Molecule: ribosomal RNA, 406 nt
Filed under: uncultured bacterium
Lineage: Bacteria
Description: partial 16S ribosomal RNA
Rfam family: Bacterial small subunit ribosomal RNA
Source: RNAcentral
AUUGAACGCUGGCGGCAGCCUUAACACAUGCACGUCGAACGUGUGGCGGACGGGUGAGCAAUGCUUGGGACUCUAGCUUAUGGAGGGGGAUCACUACGGGAAACUGUCGCUAAUACCGCGUACCCUACGAUGAGCCCCAGUGUGAUUAGGUAGUUGGUGAGGUAAAGGCUCACCAAGCCGACGACCGCUAGAUGGUCUGAGAGGAUGAUCAGCCACCAUGGGACUGAGACACGGCCCAGACUCCUACGGGAGGCAGCAGUGGGGAAUAUUGCACAAUGGGCGCAAGCCUGAUGCAGCCAUGCCGCGUGUAUGAAGAAGGCCUUAGGGUUGUAAAGUACUUUCAGCGGGGAGGCGUUACCCGCAGAAGAAGCACCGGCUAACUCCGUGCCAGCAGCCGCGGUAAUUC